UCAUUCACUACGGCCAAAAGAUUGUCACAAAGUUAAAACUCUACUGAGACACUCCCCACAAAUCAGAGAGCCAUGAGAGGCCAACACAGGUGCGAGCAAUCGAGCCGCCACCAUGGGGCGGAAACCGACACCGAUACAGAUUCGGAAACGGAAACAAUGCGGUGCAUCUCGUGCAAAGAAGAGUACAGCUCAAUAGACGCCGGCACGUGCAAAGAAUGCUACGAGGAAGCCAGCGAAACCGAGGAAGAGCUCAAACGAGAAAUCGAAGAUCUCAAAGCUAAGGUUGCCUUCUUACGAUUUUGGUCUCCGCUUGAUCACCACCACAGUAAUAGGUCUACUGGGCCUUCCCUCACCGACGUCGUUUUGAUCGCUUCUUCUGAUGACGCCCCUGUUCCUGUCCCCGCUCAUAAAGCUGUUUUGGUGAGCCGUUCCCCAGUAUUUCGAGCAAUGCUUGAGAACGAGAUGGAAGAAAGCCGGAGUGGCACCAUCAAGAUUAGUGAUGUGUCAUAUGAUGCCCUGCGCAUAUUCGUCAACUAUUUAUACACUGCUGAAGCAUGCCUUGAUGAACAAAUGGCAUGUGAUCUUUUAGUUUUGGCCGAAAAGUAUGAGGUGAAGUAUCUCAAGGCGUAUUGUGAGAAGUUUCUGGUGUCGAAAUUGAACUGGGACAAUUCGGUUCCAAGCUAUGCCUUUGCAUAUCAGCACAAUGCUAAGCAUAUGGCUGAAGCAGCGCUGUCAUUGAUCACAGACAACAUGGACAAACUUACUAAAAGGGAGGAAUACAAGGAUCUUGUGGAAAAGGAUCCGCGGCUUGUUGUGGAGAUUUAUGAAGCUUAUCUCUCUAAACAGGUUAACACAGCAGCACCAAGGAUUCUUUGAUGAGGCUAUUUUCAAAUGAGAAUCCUCCAACUGGCAUGAGGACCUUCCGAUGUGUCAUGAACAGCCGACACCCAACCCAUCGCGUUUGCUAUCUCUUCAAGUUCACCCAUAACAGAUACAAUGUCCCGUAUAUACACAGUCCCUCCUGGUCUCAGUAUCCUAUCCAUCUCCAGCAUUAUAGUAGACAUAUUGCAUUUUUGCCUAACACAAAAAACAAAAUAUUCACAUUCUUCAAUUUCUCUCUACCACUGAAACAUAAAUAUAUAAGUAUAACAGUAUGAAAGAUGAAAGUGUUGCUUGUAGUACCUUUUCUGCUCCACAGAGAACAACCUUGCUGCAUGUAGUAAAUCAUACGUUCUGGGGUACGUAUCGAAUGGCUCGCACCUGCAAUUCACAGAUUCGAGUAACUUCUAUCUGGCGGAUGAUGGAGGCGCGCCGGCCAUGUCGUAACAUUGCCUCCAUAACCAUCUUUAGGCAGUUUUGUUAUGCAUCCCUUCAUUCUCACAUACCUGCAAAAAGCACAACAGCUUAUGUUGCUCAAAUCUGUAUUUUCUAGCUCAUAAGCCUAUGAAGGAUCGAUGAGAGCAUACCAAACAUUGUCCGGAUCGUCGUUGGCUUCGCAUAACGGAGGUGUUGAUCUAGCUUCACGAUUAAGGUAGCAGCUGUUGUUUAAAGGCUUCUGCCAUAUGGCAAUAUAUCCUUCUUUUUUCACAAAUUUCCAACACAUGCUGCUGGUAAGUUUCUGCAUUUCUGUUUCAGUGUGCAAAUAAUUAAACAGAUUAGAGACAGUAAGAAACAGCUAUUUCUUAAAUUUCUUUUAGCAAACAAGUAUCUAAUUUUUAUUAUUUA
Molecule: RNA transcript, 1725 nt
Organism: Mercurialis annua (annual mercury)
Lineage: Eukaryota; Viridiplantae; Streptophyta; Magnoliopsida; Malpighiales; Euphorbiaceae
Gene name: BTB/POZ domain-containing protein At4g08455
Exons: 4
Source: RefSeq, a predicted model, not a curated record